This is a long non-coding RNA of Daphnia carinata, 2365 nucleotides long. RefSeq lists it as uncharacterized. The transcript has 3 exons. The record is from RefSeq and is a predicted model, not a curated record. Lineage: Eukaryota; Metazoa; Arthropoda; Branchiopoda; Diplostraca; Daphniidae.
AAAAUACUGUAGGAGAUGGUUAAAAAGCAUAGUGAAAUGUUGGUAAAAGAAGAGCUAGUCGUGUGGUUCCUGAUUGUGCAAGUUUUGACCCACCCGCACCUUCAAAUCGUUAAACAAGCUUUUAAGGAAACGAAGAAGAAUCAUAAAAGAAACACAUAAAAGGGUCCAAGAAAACCUCCAUUCAACGUCACGCAAAAACGAAGAUGCUCUUAGGUAAAGUGUAGGUAUAUUUUCCAAAACAGACUAAACAUUUUUGGCGCCAUUUCUACAGGCGGCAUCAUGAUGGGAAACGACAUCUUACAAUUCUUUGGGUGGGGGACACGAGUGGGAACAAUGGCAAAAACGGUCAGUUAAGUAGGGAAAAAAUAUUUCAGAAACGUAGUAAUAGUUGGAUUGAAAAAUUUUUCUGUGUGGUGAAAAUGACGUGAUGUGUUCCCAGGAAAUCAUGAAUCGAAAAUCAGUUAUGGCGGGAAUGUUAUCAAGUACUCUUUUCGCUCAAAUUUUUGCUCCUUAUUGAAAUUGAAAUAUUGCUUCGUACUUAUUGGAUUAAUUAGUUAUUGAAAUUGAAAAUUUAUUCUUUCCGGUGAUGGUCAAGAAUUAAUCUAAUGGUUUGAAACUGACGUAUUGCCUGGUGAAUAAAAACAAAAAGAAUUUACAUAACUGACGAAAAAGUAAAGUUUCCAUAAGCUUACGUGACGUGAUGGGCAUCCGGACUAUAGCACAGAUUCUGAUCGGUCGAGUCAAUAUACAGCUCGGUGCAAUAUAACAUUUUUCUCUCUUUUUCGUAUACCGACCAGAAAUAAUGACCGCAGGCGUUUACAAUUUCUGUUGAUAAAACGUGCCCAAUAAUAAUUUAUUUAUUUACAAAUGAUAAAAUAGCGGAAACUUUUACUCACCGUGACAAAACUUACGACAGGGGCCUAUGCUUUUGCCAUCUGGACGACAUUCAGGUUGCGUUGCUAGGCAGAUAAAUUCUUCAAUCCUAGGGGAAUCUAUGACCGUCUGGAGCAAUGCCCGGCUAGCACUGAAAUCGUAUUCGGACGUGUAUCCCGCAGAAUUUGGAUAAAAGGUGUAAGCAUAAUUGAGGUGAUUGUUGCAGAUGGUCGUGUUACGUGGAAUGCAUUGAGGCUGUGAAAGUUCGGUCGACGAUGCCGCAGGUAUUUUGUCUGUAUACCAUUUUUAGGUUACCGUGAAUAACAAAUAAUCGUAACUGAAGCAUGCUUGCAUUACCUGUGAGGGCUCUGACGGAUUGAUGUCUGCGGGACGUGGUGUAACAGAAAUACCAUCAUCCCUAGACGUGACACUCUCCCCAUCUAACCCUUGUUUGCAAUAAAUAAGGUAAAAAGAAGGCAAAUUACAUUUCAUUUGUUUGUUGAACAAGCUUACUUGACAAUGACAUCUAUUUUUUUUCAGUGGCAUGCGCAAAAAAAAAAAUUAUAAAUAGGAAAACAAAUGUUUACCAAAUCCACCUAUUAACCCAAAUUUUAUUCCAUAGUAGAUAGUCGUAAGCCCUCCAGCAAUUAAAACCAACGUAAAGAACGCCAAGCAGACUGGUAGCUUCCAGCGACUAGACUUUUGGACACUAGGUGUCGGCAGGUCGUCCGUCAUGGCGUCAAAAAAGUUAAGUGCACCUAAAAUUUUAUUUGUGCUAAUUUAGAAAAAUUUUGACUUCUGCAGAUUAGCAGUUCCUUUUUCAGGAAGGAAAAAUAAUUUGCUGAUGAAACUUACAUAAAAACUAGUACAGCGAUCCGAAGAUAACGUAAGUGGUACGCGCAGCACACAGACUUAUGCUCCUCCAGGUAGCAAAACCUCGAUAGGCGUCAAGACAAAAAUUCCUACGUCUUUCGACGAGUAAAAGAUUUUUGUUACUGCGAUUGUCUGGUUCGCUGUUCAUCUUGCGAAUCUUUCAGUGAAGGGGAAUUCUUGCGCAAUUGAACACGUGAGGACAGAAACGACCAAUAGGAGCAUGUUGUGCUAGGUCCAUUCAUCACACCUUACCUGCUUUGAAUGGGCAACAUUCUUUGGGCACACCAUUUCUUGAAGAGACUCCAAGAAAAAAGGGGCAUCGUAGUUACGUUCACCUUGAAAUGCAGAAAAGAGUAAAACCCUCCUGUUACCUUCUAUCGUAUGGAUUUUCCCGAAGCUCAUUGAAUUAGCAUAUUAGUUUUCCAGUUGAAUCAGAUUUGAGUGCUUAACCCUAUCGUGGCCUUUCAUAAAUUAAGGAAAGUUGGCAUUCGGUGGGAAUAAAUGGCCAAUGGUGAAACCGCAGAAAAAUCGAAACACAGUCUGGCCUCGCAUGCACCAUCAGAUCCGGAAUAGCUUCAUUAUAGUUUCCCUUAAUUUGUCGCAUACUAGUUACUGAUGG